GGUUGGUAACAGGUGAUCCUCAAUAAAGACCCGGGACUAAAGGCCGGGACCAUUAGUCCCGAAUGAUUAGUCCCGGUUGGAAAAACCGAGAUAUAUGAGGUUUCCCAACUGGGACUAAUGCUCGUUUCUCUACCAGUAAAUUAUACAACAACUGAUAUUUACAGUAUAUGAUUUUUCUGAAUAGAGCUCACAGUUGACUUGAUAGGUAUCGUGUUUGCUUCUUUGAGCACCAACGCCCAUUUCAAUCUCCAGCAACCUCAUACUGGCAUCAUCAGGCACUUACUGAGACCAUCCUGGAAAACAAGCUUCGGCAAGCUCCAGCCUCCAGCUGCGAAAACUCAUUCAACUUCUAACAAUUAGUUUCAAGUAGACAAUUAGUUCAGAAUAGAAGUAGACAAUUGUUAUCGGCAAAAAUUUCUAUCAUACCUGGAUUACCUCUAGUAAAUAACUUGUUAUUAGAGAGGAGCCCCAGAAAUAUCUGAACACGGG
This 489-nucleotide long non-coding RNA is filed under the name Setaria italica (foxtail millet). RNAcentral describes it as "long non-coding RNA (SITA_LNC006921)". Lineage: Eukaryota; Viridiplantae; Streptophyta; Magnoliopsida; Poales; Poaceae. The record is from RNAcentral.